UGAUAUCAAUUCCCUCAGGUUUUUGUAAUGAAGGCCUGUUAGGUGAAUUGGAUUUGGAGGUUUUAGUGCAGGUCCCCCCCUUCUGCCAUUCUAUGAAUUAGGGGGGGGGGAUCAGCUCCUCUUAAAUGCAUUAAGUUAGAGUAUGAAAGCAAGUGGGGGCUCUUUAGCACUUUUUCACUUGCUAUGGUGUAAUAAUUAUUCCAUCAUAGCUUUUGAGUGAAUAAAGUGUGCAUGACUGGAGCCUCAUUGUUAGACUUGCUCUGCUUUUCUAAUUGUCAGUCCUUGACUGAUGAUCAUGUAUUUGACUC
RNAcentral lists this unclassified non-coding RNA (308 nucleotides) under uncultured Coltricia. Its description in RNAcentral is "sequence contains ITS2". Lineage: Eukaryota; Fungi; Basidiomycota; Agaricomycetes; Hymenochaetales; Hymenochaetaceae. The record is from RNAcentral.